CAUGACCAUUUGUUCAUCUAUCCAUGUCAUGCACUUGUUAUAUGAUCUAUCUAUACUUGUCGAUGCAUGAUUUAUCUCUGUCUAUUUAUGCCUGUGUCGUGCCUUCGCGCCGGACUAAUUAUUUAUUUAUCUAUCUCUAUCAUCUCUCGUGCUAUGGAAAUGUGCUACUCCGAGAUAUCGUCGUGUUGGUGUUGUAGUUUAGUCAUUUGUCAAGUUGUGGUUCUUGCGGGUUGUGUGGUUCUUCUUGCUUCGGACCGAGCCGUCGAGCCGGUUGAGAGAGUGACGUGUUUGAAUGUUGUGAUCGCGAGUUCGUCUUGCCAUGGUCGUAGUGCCAAGCAUGUCCCUUCUCUCGUGUUGUCGCUGUUCUUCUUUAUUUAUUUGCCUGAGGACUGAGCCUUUGAGCCGGUCGCGGAAGUGGUAGUGCGCUUGACCAUUUCGAUCGUGGGUUCGUCCCGCCGUGAUCGCGAUGCCGAGCGUAACUCGUUUCCCGAGUUCAGUUGACUCUGUCGCGCUAGGGUCGUUAGCUCUUGUUCUUGUCCCGCAGCCGUGGUCAUCGUGGGCUCGAUGUCUUUAUCGACACGGAUCUUACCCGCACACCCGAGACCUAUGUGGCCUAGUCUAGUGGGAUACGGAUUAGGGGACUUGUUAGGUGAAGCUCGUGGCCGCAAGUCCACCUUGCCAUGACCAUCGGGCUUUACCCCAUUUCUCGAGUGUUUAUCCUAACCACCUCGUAUGCUUGUACCAUCCUGACUAGAGCAUUCCCUCGGACCUAGUGGUGACAACCGCAUCGCUACGGGCCUUAGGAAUAGCCUCGUGCCGAUUUAGUCGCACAGUCAUGGUGCCCUACGAGUAGGUUUGGAUCGUGGGGUCGUAUCUCUUUUAUCCAACCGUCGUUCGUUCCAUGAUGAGUUGGUCGAAAGGGUAGAACUCCAUUCUUCUUCUUACUUAAUCUUAAUCAUCAUCAGCAUGGAUUGAGACUCGUUUUGCUUGUUUGUUGUUUUGUUUCCAAUCCCGCGAUUCCCGCUGUUGCUAUGGCGAGUGGAUCAAAGGGAGAUGAAUCCCGUGUCCUUUCCCGUCUUUUUGGUUCUUCGUGUUUAAAACUCUUGUACGCUUGUACCUAUUCGACCGUAGCAUUUCUUGGUUCUCGUGGUGACAACCGCACCGCUAAGAACCCUGGUGAUGUCUUAGUGCAUUUAGUGCACCUAGGUUGUGGUACCCUACAAGUAGUUUGAGCACUCGUGUUCUUGUGUGUCACUCUUUCAGAUUCCCCGUCUCUUACCAUGGCGAGUGGAUUGGAAGGAGUAGACCACUUUCCCUUUUCUUCUCUCUUUGUUCCACCCUCUCUUGGCUUCCGCCAACUACAAUGGCGUAUAGAUUGAGAGAGACCGGAACUUCUCGUGCUCAUAGUCUUUUCGAUUCUUGUCGACCUCUAUGACACUUGGAUCGAAAGACCGUAAGCUGUGGUGUUUGCUUAGAAUGAGUUAGAGUCUAAACCAUUUAUUGAAGCCGUACAGGUUGACUCAGUUGACCCGGGAAGUACUGGCUAAGCUAGGACUCUGACUCGUACUUAGUGAACAGCCAGUCUUGUUUCUUUAGCCCAGGGACCGGACAUCCGUCGAGAGGGCCAAGCUGUUUUCCUUUCGUUGCUCUUUUAGUGUAGUUGUUCCUCAGUGUUCUGUCGUCUCUUUUCGCAGUCCUUCUAGGUCUAGUGGUUUGAUUGUUUCGCCUUGUUUGUCGCUUUCGAGGUAGAUGCUUCAGUUAGCGUUGAUCGGAUCAGGACCCGUUGGAGGGAGGACAUGCGGAAAGGAGGAUCUUGGAUGAGUACAACUACAAGUGAACUGAGGAUCUUGGAGAUAACAUUCAACAGGUGCCACGUCCCACCCAACCUCGUAGAAUCCUAUUAGACAUGCAAUAUGUAGAUGCUAGUGCUUUACUUUUAUGCAAUUGAACUGAGAUAGGUUGCAUGGUAGAAAUGCUUGUGAGCCAUUGCCUUGUUGCAACCUAUAAACUUCGCACACCCGCUGUUAGGGUAGAUGCUUGCACACUACUUGCUACUGCUUCUACUACGCAUUAUAUCUGUGAUGUGAUGCAAUGUGGAAGAUUGGAUGUGAGUGGAUAAGGCACGUGGUGCCAAUAAAUGGAUAAUGAGAUGGUAAUGGAUUUGGGGAGAUCUUGGCGUGUGUCUUGGGUGUGUGGUGAGGGUCGAGUCGACCGAGCAGGAUCUACGACGAGUCUUGGGACAAGUCUUGCCGGGGGACGCUACCUGGGCGUUCUCCACGAGAGUUACCUGUGGCGGGUACAUGUGACAGGGAGAGGUCCCGGAGUGGAGUGUCUUCGUGGGACGAAGCGCCGGGAUGGGAGCUGCUGUUUAGCACGGGGUAGCCGGAUGUCCCGUCGAGCGGGGCAUCAGUUGGCCCCUCGUGAAGAUAUCCUGUUUGGUCACCCUAAGGACUGAUAUGUUCUGUGGACCGGGUCUUAGGAAGCCUUACACGCCACUCGCCUUAGCCAUGGAACGGGACGGAUGUACGACCAGCUAGUGCGGUGCCACUACUACUAGGUUGAUAGCAGAUAGUGUAGGGAGGUACGGGCAUGAGGACCUACACCCUCCUAAGACAGCGUAGUGACCUUGGGGGCCCGGUACUACGCCUCACAGUCUCAGCAUGCCGGUGGUACUCCGGUAUGGCCCCAGUUCUGAGUGGUAGGGUGGCAUCGUAUUUAGUUGGGAGGCAGCUCGGAAUCAGCCUAGACGGGGGCCACCGUCGAUGAUGGUGAUCUUGUGGUUAGUGUAAACCUCUGCAGAGUUUUGGUUGAUCGAUCGAUACAUAUGCCGAUUCGUCGGCUAUGGACCUUUCCUAAGUACAGCUUCACUUGACUAGAGAGAGGAGUCCUUUCUACCUUCCCCUGGGUUUGUGUUGGAUCCGGCGUUGGCCGUUGAGGCAAAGCACGAGCGGGAGUCGUACUUGCCGCCUAGAGAGUGAGAGUGUGGUGAGAUGUGUGUGAUGGGAUGGAUGGAUGGAUGUGUGGAUGAGAUGGAUUAAACUUGAUGAAUUAUUAUUAUUAAAUAUUGAUGAACUUGUAUAGGAAAGACUACAGCCAUAUGUAUAGGCCUCUUGAUCUACCCUUUGCAUUCCACUUACCACAAAGCUUACGCAAAAGCAUAGGGUGGGAGCCAGUGGCCAGUACAAAUCGUACUGAACAUUGUUUAGCAGGUUUUGAACGUGGUCCAUGACGAUGACUACGGAGAGUAGAAGGAUUAGGUGGUCUCGUUCCUGCACUCAAGUUUGGUUCGGAGAUGGAGGCUACGCCUGCUGAUAAACUACGCCGACUCUGAUGAUUGCCCGUGAAGGAGGAGCCUUCACCGCUGACGCGCUACAUCAACUCUGAUAUAGACCCGUGUGUGUUUCCGCUAGAAAAACGAUAUAAUAGGCUUGUUGACUGAGAGUUGUAAAGUAAAUGUGUUGUAAUCUUGUUUUUCACGAUGUAUGACUAUGAUAACAGCUGAUAUAUGAUAAUGUGAUGGCUCAAUUUUUGAAUUAUCACAUUAUAAUUCGAAUCUGUGGAUUUUCCCCUUUGUGGAAAAAUCUAGGUCGUUUCAGUUGGUAUCAGAGCCAUACUUGACCCUAGGACGAGACCUUUAGCACCAAACACUAGUUAAGAAGCCAAACAUCCUAUCUUUUGUAGAGUUAUAGACACUAACACUUGUUUUCCCCCUCUGCCUUGAAUUCUGCUGCUAACUGACCUCCCUGUUUCAUAAAGUUGACCGUUGGAAACUUUUCCCAUACAUGCCCACGCUAGAUCGGUAGUCGUGUGAGACUUUGAAGGUCUGUGAGUCACCUCAAGUCAACACUAUGCAUUAGGAGUUGUAAUGCUGUUUGAGUGCUUGGAUCUUAUGUUGUUGUGUUUCUUCGGCUUCUUGUUGUCUGAGUGUAAGUCAUAGAACUUGUUUUAUGCGAGAAAGACUCUGGAUCCCGUCCAACCUAGUCGGCUAAACCCAAGACCGUCCCGAGACUAGAUAGGUGGCCCUGGCUAACAGAGCUGAAAAAGGGUGUAAAGCUGAUGCAUCAUGUCUUUCCCAUCUAUUUCAAAACUGUUUUGGCUUCCAACUAAACCUAUCUUCAAAAUUUUCUCUCCUUUUUGGUUAAAAUGUCCCCUCUUUAACAAAAACAUCUCUAUUUCAAAUAGAUAAGUGUUUCAAAACUCUCUCAAGGUCUUCCUUUUUCGAAAAGAAGGCAACUCAAACUCCAUUCUCAACUCAAUGUUAUUCAAAAGCUAUUUAUGAACUGAUUUAAAAAUAAGUUAUCUUUCAAAAAGUGUUACCAACCAUCUUCUGAAAAACAAAAGUCUUGCUUUUUCAUCAACAAUGUGGUUUUCAAACCAAAGAUCUUUGGCUCAGUUUUGUUUUAAAGGCCUUUGAUUUUAUCUCGAGAGCCAAAUUCCCUUCAAAAAUCAACCUUGUAUUACAAAAUGAGAGAUUUGUAACUGAUUUGUUAAACAAAAACCAUUGUGAAAGGAUUUUGUUUUGCAACCUUCAAAAAAAAAUAGCAAAAAAAAAGAGAAAUGAUUUCUAACCAUUUUCAAAACUAGAUUGUUUAAUUCAAAUAAAAGAGAGCAACACCUCAUUUAGAAAACUAAAAGAGUUUCAAAGUCUCUUGAUUUGAAAUCUUUUACAAAAAAAAAUCUCUUAAAAAAAAUAAAAUAAAUAUAUACAUAUAUAUAUAAUAUAAAUAAUAAUAAUGACAAAAUAAAUAAAUUUGGUUUUCAAAAUUUGCGUUGAUUUCAACCCUUUUCAAAAGCUCUUUUCAGUUUGAGCUAUCUUAAAAAAAAACUUUGACUUUGUAAAACCGCUUUCACUCCAUUUAUGAAACGUGAUUUUCCAAAAAACAUUCCUUUCAAAAGCUUUUUGCAAAAAGUGAUGCAUGAAAAACAGCUGGUGAAAGCCAACAACCCUAGCUAUGUUUCAGCCUGCCAAGCACCCUUUGAGAGCCAGAUGUUCAUCAACCUGGUGCGAUUCUUGGAUACCCAUCGCCUUGUUGUAAAAAUUUGGAUACCCAACACCAGCGAGUGAGCCUUGGAUACACUUGGAACAUGACUCACUCCUGUUUUGGAAAAAGUUUGUGGAGCGAUCAUACUGAAAGUGAAACAACUUAGAAGUAAGAGGAACUUCGAGAAUAGCACCCUUGCUUCUUCAUCGACCGAGCAACGCCUAAAUCUCGGGGACGAGAUUCCUGUAAGGUGGGUGGACUGUAACAUCCCAGAUUUUUACGUAAACCAAAAAUACGAGCUUUCUAAAAUUUUUCCUGUAAUCGUGUGAACCAUAUAGUUUUUAGGUCAAACUCGAUCCUAACCCGCUAACAAAUCGUGGCAUACAUGUAGAUUUGUUUGUAGGCGAGUGCUUUUGUUCGUGAGUCGAUUUGGAGUUGAGUCCUAAUUAGGGUUUGGAGUGCACAAAUCCGUAGCAAGUCUUUCUGAAUCUCUGUUGAGCCUAUCUCAAAGGCGAAGCGAAUCCCUUCUCAACCUUUUCUUGUUGAUCUCAUCACUAAAUCUCCUCCGCAAAAUCUAUCUUAAAUUCAUGGUAACUCAUCUCAAUCUCUUGUUGAGUCCUCUCUCGAAUGCCCCUCAUUUUUUCCCUUUUUAAAUUUCUCUCAAAGCCCUUGAGUCAAAUUCGUAAAUGGAAAAUCCAUCUCCUUUCAUGGGCCAAUUCUUUCCUCCUCUUCCUCCCUCCCUCGGCCCAGCCUGGGCUCCCUUCCCCCCUGUCCGGCCCAACUCGCGCGCGCCAAGGCCCAGUCUGCCCCUUACCCCCCAGCCAGGUCGGCCCACCUCGUUCCCCCUGUCUCCCCUCCGAGGCCCAGCUCUUUCCUUGGCCCAUCCAGUGCCGCGCUGGCCCAUUCGCUUCUCCCUGCUCUGGCCCAAGUCGUGGCCGGCCCAGCAGCCAGCGCCCCAGCCCCAACCCUAGCAGGGAGCUGGACACCUGAGCCCCAGAGCCGCCGCCGCCGUCGCCCAAGGCAGAGCCGCGCCAGCGCUCGCGCCUGCCACGGCUUCCGUGCGACCCCGCAUCCACCGCCGCGUGUCCCGCUGCGGACACGGACGCCGAGGAUGGCCGCAACGUCCCUAGAGCCCUAGCGCCCGCGCUAUAAAAGCAGCAGCAGCCGCUCGCCCUUCUUCUACCCGCCGCCGCCGCCAUAGCCGACUCGAAGCUCCACACCCUCACCAAGCGCCUCGACCCCGACCUCGCCCCGCGCACCUGCACCACCGAGCUCGGUCACGUCGUGACGCCGUCGAUCGCCACCACGAUGUCGCCCGCAACUGCGUCGCCCGAGCGUCUCGUCCUCGGCACCACCUCGGCACCCGCACCGCGCCCUCGCCGAGCAGCAGCAGAGCCGCGGCCAUGGCCUCGCCCUGCCGACGCCGCCAAGCACCACUGCGCCCGCCUCGGCCGUGCCCCUACCUCUGUGUCAAGCUUCAUCACCACGCGGGGGUCAGCCGCGGUGCCGUCCUCGCUGCGCAGCAGCCUCGCCCGGCGACGUCGAGCCCGCUGCCCUCGCCGCGUCGAGCUUCGACCACGGCCGGCCGCGUGGACGCCACAGCCCGGCCGAGCCUCUGCCUCGCCACCGUGGGAGUCGCCGCGGCCACGACGCCUUCAGCCUCGGCGCCCCUCCGCGUCCACGACGGUGUCGACCGCGAGCCCCCGUGCUGUCAUGGAGCUUACCUCGUCGAGCCGACACGCCGUCGACAGAGCCACCGAUGCCGCGCGCCGGGCACCAGAGCAAGCCCCUUCGCCGAGCACCCGAUGCGCCCUGUCGCCGCGGCCACGCCAGGACGUCGCCAUGGUCACCGCGUCAGCGCCGGCCGUGGUGAUCGCGACCCCGACCACGACGCCGUGCUCAUCUUGCCACGGUGACCGCGAACUUCCCUUUUUGCUGGCUGCCGAUCACCACUGAACGUGCAGCAGCGGCAGCACCACCCCGCGCGAAGCUCUUCUCUGCCGCCGGUGAGCCACCAGUGCCCAAGUGCCCUCCUUGCUAGCUUUCUGUUUUGCCUUGCUGAAACCGGCCUUUGUGCCGUGUUCUUCACUGUACAGGGAUGCUGCACCCAUGUCGUGCCACUUGCCGGAGCCGUUGGACUUAACAUCGCUGCUGUUGGAGCACCGAACCUCGAGGCGUUGCCGAACCCCAAGACUUCUCUUUCAGAUGCACCCCGGCCACCUGCAGCAAGCCGCGACCAAGCUGUAGAAGCCCUCUGCCAUCCUCGCCCGCAAGGUCGAACCUUGAACCUAGCUGACAUCGUCUCCGACGUUGGCAAAACCCUUGCCCUUCAUUUCGAUAUCAUACAUGCCAUGUAUCUUGCUCAUGUAUGCAUUAAGAUCUAUCUGCAUGACCAUUUGUUCAUCUAUCCAUGUCAUGCACUUGUUAUAUGAUCUAUCUAUACUUGUCGAUGCAUGAUUUAUCUCUGUCUAUUUAUGCCUGUGCCGUGCCUUCGCGCCGGACUAAUUAUUUAUUUAUCUAUCUCUAUCUAUCUCUCGUGCUAUGGAAAUGUGCUACUCCGAGAUAUCGUCGUGUUGGUGUUGUUGUUUAGUCAUUUGUCAAGUUGUGGUUCUUGCGGGUUGUGUGGUUCUUGUUGCUUCGGACCGAGCCGUCGAGCCGGUUGAGAGAGUGACGUGUUUGAAUGUUGCGAUCGCGAGUUCGUCUCGCCAUGGUCGUAGUGCCAAGCAUGUCCCUUCUCUCGUGUUGUCGCUGUUCUUCUUUAUUUAUUUGCCUGAGGACUGAGCCUUUGAGCCGGUCGGGGAAGUGGUAGUGCGCUUGACCAUUUCGAUCGUGGGUUCGUCCCGCCGUGAUCGCGAUGCCGAGCGUAACUCG
This 7853-nucleotide long non-coding RNA is filed under the name Sorghum bicolor (sorghum). RNAcentral's name for it is "long non-coding RNA (SBIC_LNC011900)". The record is from RNAcentral. Lineage: Eukaryota; Viridiplantae; Streptophyta; Magnoliopsida; Poales; Poaceae.